Molecule: ribosomal RNA, 98 nt
Filed under: Prevotella corporis
Lineage: Bacteria; Pseudomonadati; Bacteroidota; Bacteroidia; Bacteroidales; Prevotellaceae
Description: partial 16S ribosomal RNA
Source: RNAcentral
UUUUACAAUGGAGAGUUUGAUCCUGGCUCAGGAUGAACGCUAGCUACAGGCUUAACACAUGCAAGUCGAGGGGAAACGGCAUUAAGUGCUUGCACUUU